RNAcentral lists this ribosomal RNA (435 nucleotides) under Salmonella enterica subsp. enterica serovar Mikawasima. RNAcentral's name for it is "partial 23S ribosomal RNA". It matches the Rfam family "Bacterial large subunit ribosomal RNA", at positions 163 to 590 of the family's 2925-position model. Lineage: Bacteria; Pseudomonadati; Pseudomonadota; Gammaproteobacteria; Enterobacterales; Enterobacteriaceae. The record is from RNAcentral.
UCCAUAGGUUAAUGAGGCGAACCGGGGGAACUGAAACAUCUAAGUACCCCGAGGAAAAGAAAUCAACCGAGAUUCCCCCAGUAGCGGCGAGCGAACGGGGAGGAGCCCAGAGCCUGAAUCAGCAUGUGUGUUAGUGGAAGCGUCUGGAAAGGCGCGCGAUACAGGGUGACAGCCCCGUACACAAAAGCGCAUGUGCUGUGAGCUCGAUGAGUAGGGCGGGACACGUGGUAUCCUGUCUGAAUAUGGGGGGACCAUCCUCCAAGGCUAAAUACUCCUGACUGACCGAUAGUGAACCAGUACCGUGAGGGAAAGGCGAAAAGAACCCCGGCGAGGGGAGUGAAAAAGAACCUGAAACCGUGUACGUACAAGCAGUGGGAGCCCCACCACCAAAGCAUUUGCUGUACCGCGUUGACGGAGCGAAGCGACGUCAAACCG